RNAcentral lists this small RNA (582 nucleotides) under Pongo abelii (Sumatran orangutan). RNAcentral's name for it is "retained intron". Lineage: Eukaryota; Metazoa; Chordata; Mammalia; Primates; Hominidae. The record is from RNAcentral.
AAGGGGAGGUGCGGCUGGCCUGGUUUCCUGGCGACGCGGCGCUGCAGGCGGUUGCAUUCCCCAUCGUUACCCUCUUUCUCUUCCCGACGCGUGAGUUAGGCCGUCAUGCCUUGGCUGCUCUCAGCCCCCAAGCUGGUUCCCGCUGUAGCAAACGUCCGCGGCCUCUCAGGAUGUAUGUUGUGUUCACAGCGAAGGUACUCCCUUCAGCCUGUCCCAGAAAGGAGGAUUCCAAACAGAUACUUAGGCCAGCCCAGCCCCUUUACACACCCACACCUCCUUAGACCAGACUCGAAUUCCUGCUGGGAAGUCGGCUGAAGCUAAGGAAAUGCAGCUCACCACUGAAACCCACAAGAAAUCAGAGUUUUUCAAAGCUGUAAGGUAAGCUUAAUAGCAACCCAGUUGGUAUUAAUUUUAGUAUUUAUCUACCCUAUCAACCUACCUGUAGACUCGAGUUAUUUUUUUAAGUGGAAUUGAUAGUUUUACCAGCUUUGAAAAUUACUGAUUUCUUGUGGUGAGAUAUUUUUACAUGGUAAGCUGCAUUUUCCAGGCCUUAAACCUAGUAAUUAUACUGUCAAGAUAAUG